GAUGAACGCUGGCGGCGUGCCUAAUACAUGCAAGUCGAACGCAUUGUGGUUGAAAUGAUAUGAAGAACUUGUUCAGAUUUGAUUUUCAACAUUGCAAUGAGUGGCGAACGGGUGAGUAACACGUGGGAAACCUACCUCUUAGCAGGGGAUAACAUUUGGAAACAAAUGCUAAUACCGUAUAAUAAUUAAAACCGCAUGGUUUUAGUUUAAAAGAUGGUCUUGCUAUCACUAAGAGAUGGUCCCGCGGUGUAUUAGUUAGUUGGUGAGGUAAUGGCUCACCAAGACAAUGAUACAUAGCCGAGUUGAGAGACUGACCGGCCACAAUGGGACUGAGACACGGCCCAUACUCCUACGGGAGGCAGCAGUAGGGAAUCUUCCACAAUGGACGAAAGUCUGAUGGAGCAACGCCGCGUGUGUGAUGAAGGGUUUCGGCUCGUAAAACACUAGUUGUAAGAGAAGAAUGACAUUGAGAGUAACUGUUCAAU
Molecule: ribosomal RNA, 485 nt
Filed under: uncultured bacterium
Lineage: Bacteria
Description: bacterial SSU rRNA
Rfam family: Bacterial small subunit ribosomal RNA
Source: RNAcentral